RNAcentral lists this ribosomal RNA (612 nucleotides) under Streptococcus parasanguinis. Its description in RNAcentral is "bacterial LSU rRNA". It matches the Rfam family "Bacterial large subunit ribosomal RNA", at positions 1102 to 1723 of the family's 2925-position model. Lineage: Bacteria; Bacillati; Bacillota; Bacilli; Lactobacillales; Streptococcaceae. The record is from RNAcentral.
UGGCUUAGAAGCAGCUAUUCAUUCAAAGAGUGCGUAAUAGCUCACUAGUCGAGUACCCUGCGCCGAAAAUUACCGGGGCUAAAACAAUUUACCGAAGCUGUGGAUACCUUUAUAGGUAUGGUAGGAGAGCGUUCUAUGUGUGGAGAAGGUGUACCGUGAGGAGCGCUGGAACGCAUAGAAGUGAGAAUGCCGGUAUGAGUAGCGAAAGACAGGUGAGAAUCCUGUCCACCGUAAGACUAAGGUUUCCCAGGGGAAGGCUCGUCCGCCCUGGGUUAGUCGGGACCUAAGGAGAGACCCGAAAGGUGUAUCCGAUGGACAACCAGGUUGAUAUUCCUGUACUAGAGUAUGUAGUGAAGGAGGGACGCAGUAGGCUAACUAAAGCGUGCGACUGCAAGUGCACGUCUAAGCAGUGAGGUGUGAAUUGAGUUAAAUGCUUAAUUCUGUAACAUUGAGCUGUGAUGGGGAGCGAAGAUAGUAGCGAAGUUAGUACGUCACACUGCCAAAAAAGCUUCUAGCGUUAAUCAUACUCUACCCGUACCGCAAACCGAACAGGUAGUCGAGGCGAGUAGCCUCAGGUGAGCGAGAGACUCUCGUUAAGGAACUCGGAAAAUG